CCUGGCUCAGGACGAACGCUGGCGGCGUGCUUAACACAUGCAAGUCGAGCGGUAAGGCCCUUCGGGGUACACGAGCGGCGAACGGGUGAGUAACACGUGAGCAACCUGCCCCUGACUCUGGGAUAAGCGGUGGAAACGCCGUCUAAUACCGGAUACGACCCGCCACCUCAUGGUGGAGGGUGGAAAGUUUUUCGGUCAGGGAUGGGCUCGCGGCCUAUCAGCUUGUUGGUGGGGUAACGGCCUACCAAGGCGAUUACGGGUAGCCGGCCUGAGAGGGCGACCGGCCACACUGGGACUGAGACACGGCCCAGACUCCUGCGGGAGGCAGCAGUGGGGAAUAUUGCGCAAUGGGCGAAAGCCUGACGCAGCGACGCCGCGUGGGGGAUGACGGCCUUCGGGUUGUAAACCUCUUUUACCACCAGCAGCAGGCUCGGAGU
RNAcentral lists this ribosomal RNA (437 nucleotides) under Nocardiopsis sp. 1976BAB. RNAcentral describes it as "bacterial SSU rRNA". It matches the Rfam family "Bacterial small subunit ribosomal RNA", at positions 18 to 461 of the family's 1533-position model. Lineage: Bacteria; Bacillati; Actinomycetota; Actinomycetes; Streptosporangiales; Nocardiopsidaceae. The record is from RNAcentral.